AUGUGUGUGUCGAAAGGUCAAGGAGUUAUGAGUUUCCGAGAUAUACAUUGUUUCAAUCUCACUUUGCUAGCUAAACAAGCGUUGUGUCUUCUUGACAACCCUAGUUAUUUAUGUGGAACUAUCUUGAGAGAUAAAUAUUUCUCUGAUGGAGACCUGAUGAAUGCAAUCUUGAAAAAGGAUUCCUCUUUUAAUUGGAAAAGCAUUAUGGCGGGACUUAAUUCACUAAAAAAAGGGUAUAUCUGGAAGCUGGGAAAUUGACAAAAUAUUGAUAUUUAGAUAGAUGCUUGGAUUCCGAAUUAUGCAAAUAGGAAAAUCAUUACCCCAAGGGGAGAGAACCUCUUAACUAAGGUGUUUGAUCUUAUUGACCCAACCACGAAUUUUUGGGAUGAAGACAUGGUGAGACAAAUGAUGUGGCCAAUUGAUGCUCAGCGAGUCCUCAUGAUCCCCCUUCCUAUGCAUAACAUGUCAGAAUUUAUAGCAUGGAGCUAUAAAAAAGAUGGAUUGCUCACUAUUUGAUCAGCUUAUUUGGCGGAAUGUAACCUUCAACAUGCGAAAAAAUUGCAAUAUACUAAUGGGAUGGGACGAAUAAAUCUCACUCCCAUUUGAGGUAAGUUCUGGAAAUUAUCGUGUCCAGCAAAGGUUGGAUUUUUUGUUUGGCGUAAAUUGUGUGGAAUUCUCCCGUGUCAUGUUAUGCUUGCCAAUAGACAUGUGAAAGUCGCGCCCUUUUCCCCAUACUGCUCAAACCGAACAGAAGAUACAAUGCAUGUGUUGUUUCUAUGUCAGAAAGCAAGGGAGGUUUGGAAUAAGAUGGGAAUGUACGAGGUGAUUAGCAAACCUUGCACUAUUGAUCGUGCGGGAAAGGCAGUACUUGAAUUUCUGCUUCUUUUGCCAAACCAGGAUCUUUUUAUAAGGGGCAUGCAGAAUGCUGAAGUGAUUGCCAUCACCCCUUGGUACUUAUGGUGGGAUAGAAGUAAAUUGGUUCAUGAAGGAAACUCUCAAGAUGUGUAUGAGACUUCUAUGGGGGUUCGUGUUAUAACGACAAACUUUGUUAAUGCCCACUCCCCUGAUGCUUCCAGUAAAAGGGGGUCAUGGAUUAGACCGACUACAGGUUUUGUUAAGCUUAAUGUGGAUGCAUUUUUUGAUCAUGAUCAUCUUAGGGGCAUAGUUGGAGCUGUUCUUAGAUAUGUCAAGGAACAAUUCAUUGUUGGCAGAAAUGUUAGAGAUAUGCCCUAG
Molecule: ribosomal RNA, 1233 nt
Filed under: Triticum aestivum (bread wheat)
Lineage: Eukaryota; Viridiplantae; Streptophyta; Magnoliopsida; Poales; Poaceae
Description: partial small subunit ribosomal RNA
Source: RNAcentral